Molecule: ribosomal RNA, 518 nt
Filed under: uncultured bacterium
Lineage: Bacteria
Description: partial 16S ribosomal RNA
Source: RNAcentral
ACGCUUUCUGGAGGUUACCGCGGCUGCUGGCACGGAGUUAGCCGGUGCUUCUUCUGUGAGUGAUGUCCUUCCUGCCGGCUAUUAACCCGCAGGCCUUCUUCCUCACUGAAAGUGCUUUACAACCCGAAGGCCUUCUUCACACACGCGGCAUGGCUGGAUCAGGGUUGCCCCCAUUGUCCAAUAUUCCCCACUGCUGCCUCCCGUAGGAGUCUGGGCCGUGUCUCAGUCCCAGUGUGGCUGAUCAUCCUCUCAGACCAGCUACGGAUCGUCGCCUUGGUGAGCCGUUACCUCACCAACCAGCUAAUCCGACAUAGGCUCAUCCGAUAGCGCGAGGCCCGAAGGUCCCCCGCUUUCCCCCGUAGGGCGUAUGCGGUAUUAGCCUGGGUUUCCCCAGGUUAUCCCCCACUACCGGGCAGAUUCCUAUGCAUUACUCACCCGUCCGCCGCUCGCCACCAGGGAGCAAGCUCCCCGUGCUGCCGCUCGACUUGCAUGUGUUAGGCCUGCCGCCAGCGUUCAAU